RNAcentral lists this ribosomal RNA (403 nucleotides) under bacterium. Its description in RNAcentral is "partial 16S ribosomal RNA". It matches the Rfam family "Bacterial small subunit ribosomal RNA", at positions 355 to 776 of the family's 1533-position model. The record is from RNAcentral.
UGGGGAUUAUUGCACAAUGGGGGAAACCCUGAUGCAGCGACGCCGCGUGAACGAAGAAGGUAUUCGUAUCGUAAAGUUCUGUCCUAUGGGAAGAUAAUGACAGUACCAUAGAAGAAAGCUCCGGCUAAAUACGUGCCAGCAGCCGCGGUAAUACGUAUGGAGCGAGCGUUGUCCGGAAUUAUUGGGCGUAAAGGGUACGCAGGCGGUUUAAUAAGUCGAAUGUUAAAGAUCGGGGCUCAACCCCGUAAAGCAUUGGAAACUGAUAAACUUGAGUAGUGGAGAGGAAAGUGGAAUUCCUAGUGUAGUGGUGAAAUACGUAGAUAUUAGGAGGAAUACCAGUAGCGAAGGCGACUUUCUGGACACAAACUGACGCUGAGGUACGAAAGCGUGGGGAGCAAACAGG